Pyrgilauda ruficollis (rufous-necked snowfinch) is the source of this 356-nucleotide long non-coding RNA. RefSeq lists it as uncharacterized. The record is from RefSeq and is a predicted model, not a curated record. Lineage: Eukaryota; Metazoa; Chordata; Aves; Passeriformes; Passeridae. The transcript has 3 exons.
CCAGUUUCUCCAGGAAUCCCUGGAAUCCAUCGCGGACAAAUCCUGGAUUUGCCCCUUGGUGUCCGAGACCUUCCGGCAGCUCCGCGCCUGCGACGGCUCCCAGGCGGAGAAGGAUUUCCUGUACCGGUGCAUGGGGACGGCGCUGGGGCUGUGUCCCAGCAAGGAGCUGGUGAGGAAACAGCUCCAGGAGCUCCUGGAGAGCGCCCGGGGCCAGGAGGAGGCCGAGCGCGAGGGUCUCUCGUGCUGCUUCGGGAUCUGCGCCCGGAACCACCUGGAAGAAACUUUGGAAAAAUUGGAGGAAUUUGAGAAAUCCGACGCCUUCAGGAAAUCCCAGGGCUUGUUCAGCAUCUUCAAGG